AGAGUUUGAUCCUGGCUCAGGAUGAACGCUGGCGGCGUGCCUAAUACAUGCAAGUCGAACGAAUCUCUUCGGAGAUGAGUGGCGAACGGGUGAGUAAUACAUAGGUAACCUGCCCCUGUGCGGGGGAUAACAGGAGGAAACUCCUGCUAAUACCGCAUAGCCAUGAGCACCGCAUGGAGCUCAUGCCAAAUAUCCUUUCGGGGAUAGCGCAGGGAUGGACCUAUGGCGCAUUAGCUUGUUGGCGGGGCAACGGCCCACCAAGGCAACGAUGCGUAGCCGGCCUGAGAGGGCGGACGGCCACAUUGGGACUGAGACACGGCCCAGACUCCUACGGGAGGCAGCAGUAGGGAAUUUUCGGCAAUGGGGGAAACCCUGACCGAGCAACGCCGCGUGAGCGAAGAAGGCCUUCGGGUCGUAAAGCUCUGUUGUAAAGGAAGAACGGCGCAUACAGGAAAUGGUAUGCGAGUGACGGUACUUUACCAGAAAGCCACGGCUAACUACGUGCCAGCAGCCGCGGUAAUACGUAGGUGGCGAGCGUUAUCCGGAAUCAUUGGGCGUAAAGAGGGAGCAGGCGGCCGCAAGGGUCUGUGGUGAAAGACCGAAGCUAAACUUCGGUAAGCCAUGGAAACCGGGCGGCUAGAGUGCGGAAGAGGAUCGUGGAAUUCCAUGUGUAGCGGUGAAAUGCGUAGAUAUAUGGAGGAACACCAGUGGCGAAGGCGACGGUCUGGGCCGCAACUGACGCUCAUUCCCGAAAGCGUGGGGAGCAAAUAGGAUUAGAUACCCUAGUAGUCCACGCCGUAAACGAUGGUCACUAAGUGUCGGGGGUCAAACCCCGGUGCUGCAGUCAACGCAAUAAGUGACCCGCCUGAGUAGUACGUUCGCAAGAAUGAAACUCAAAGGAAUUGACGG
RNAcentral lists this ribosomal RNA (909 nucleotides) under uncultured bacterium. RNAcentral's name for it is "bacterial SSU rRNA". It matches the Rfam family "Bacterial small subunit ribosomal RNA", at positions 8 to 916 of the family's 1533-position model. The record is from RNAcentral.